GGACCCGCACAAGCGGUGGAGCAUGUGGUUUAAUUCGAUGCAACGCGAAAAACCUUACCUACUCUUGACAUACUUGGAAGCUCUUGUAAUGAGAGUGUGCCUUUUGGAGCCAAGAUACAGGUGCUGCAUGGCUGUCGUCAGCUCGUGUCGUGAGAUGUUCCGUUAAGUCGGAUAACGAGCGCAACCCUUACCCUUAUUUGCCAGCGAUUCGGUCGGGAACUAUAAGGGGACUGCCGGUGAUAAACCGGAGGAAGGUGAGGACGACGUCAAGUCAUCAUGGCCCUUACGAGUAGGGCUACACACGUGCUACAAUGCUACGGACAAAGGGCAGCAAACUCGCGAGAGCUAGCA
RNAcentral lists this ribosomal RNA (351 nucleotides) under uncultured bacterium. Its description in RNAcentral is "bacterial SSU rRNA". It matches the Rfam family "Bacterial small subunit ribosomal RNA", at positions 917 to 1269 of the family's 1533-position model. The record is from RNAcentral.